GCCUUUAGCAACACAAGUAUUAAAGGUCCCGCCUGCCCAGUGAUAUAUUUUAACGGCCGCGGUAUUCUAACCGUGCAAAGGUAGCGUAAUCACUUGUCUUCUAAAUAAAGACCAGUAUGAACGGCUAAAUGAGGACAAACCUGUCUCCUACAACAAAUCAGUGAAACUGAUCUCCCAGUACAAAAGCUGGGAUAAACACAUAAGACGAGAAGACCCUGUGGAGCUUACAAAUAAAUGAUCAACAAACCACAACCAAGACAACAAUGAUCCUAUAUUUUAAGUUGGGGCGACUUCGGAAAAAAAUAAAACUUCCGAGAAAAGGGCCACCUAGCCCACCAUAAGGGAUACAACCCUAAAGCACAAAAGUGAUUUAGACCCAGUCAAACUGAUUAACGAACCAAGUUACCCCAGGGAUAACAGCGCCAUCUUCUUCAAGAGUCCAUAUCGACAAGAAGGUUUACGACCUCGAUGUUGGAUCAGGACACCCAAAUGGUGCAGCAGCUAUUAAAGGUUCGUUUGUUCAACGAUUAACAGUCCUACGUGAUCUGAGUUCAGACCGGAGCAAUCC
RNAcentral lists this ribosomal RNA (568 nucleotides) under Acontias breviceps. RNAcentral's name for it is "partial 16S ribosomal RNA". It matches the Rfam family "Bacterial large subunit ribosomal RNA", at positions 1818 to 2627 of the family's 2925-position model. Lineage: Eukaryota; Metazoa; Chordata; Lepidosauria; Squamata; Scincidae. The record is from RNAcentral.